AGUUCGAUCAUGGCUCAGACCAACAGCGUUCUUUACUGCUCAGUCAGACGGCGGCGCGGACUUCGGUCUUUGGUGGUGGCGAACGGGUCGAUAAUGUAUCGGACGUGCUGGUAGUGGGGGAUAGCUGCGCGGCGUGGCUAAUGCCGCAUCACGCCGCAUUCGAAGCGGGGACAACUGGGCCUCGCACUAUUAGAGCGGCCGAUAUCGGAUUAGCUAGUUGGUGGGAGUAACGGCUCACCAGGGCGACGAUCCGUAGCUGGUUUGAGGAGGACGACCAGCCACACUGGGACUGAGGCAGCCCAAUUCUACGAAGGCGGCAGUGAAAUUUUGGACAAUGGGGAAACCCUGAUCCAGCCCAUCCCGCGUGUGCGAUGAAGGCCUUCGGGUUGUAAAGCACUUUUGGCAGGAAAGAAACGGCACAGGAUAAUACCCCGUGCAACUGACAGUACCUGCAGAAUAAGCACCCGGCUAACUACGUGCCAGCAGCCGCGGUAUUAUGGGUGCAAGCGUUAAUCGGAAUUACUGGGCGUAAAGCGUGCGCAGGCGGUUCGGAAAGAAGAUGUGAAAUCCCAGAGCUUAACUUUGGAACUGCAUUUUAACUACCGAGCUAGAGUGUGUCAGAGGGAGGUGGAAUUCCGCGUGUAGCAGUGAAAUGCGUAGAUAUGCGGAGGAACACCGAUGGCGAAGGCAGCCUCCUGGGGUAACACUGACGCUCUCAUGUGCUGCGAGAAAGCGUGGGAGCAAACAGGAUUAGAUACCCUGGUGAUUACGCCUAAACGAUCAUAAUAGCUGUUGGGGCCUUCGGAGCCUUGGUAGCGCAGCUAACGCGUAGAUUGACCGCCUGGGAAGUACGGUCGCAAGAUUAAAAACUCAAAGGAAUUGACAGGGACCCGCACAAGCAGUGGAUGAUGUGGAUUAAUUCGUGCAACGAAAAACCUUACCUACCCUUGACAUGUCUGGAAUCCCGAAGAUUUGGGAGUGCUCGCGAGAGGAACCGGAACACAGGUGCUGCAUGGCUGUCGUCAGCUCGUGUCGUGAGAUGUUGGGUUAAGUCCACAACGAGCGCAACCCUUGUCAUUGAAAGUUGCUACGAAAGAGGGCACUCUAAUGAGACUUACCGGUGACAAACCGGAGGAAGGUGAGGAUGACGUCAAGUCCUCAUGGCCCUUAUGGGUAGGGCUUCACACGUCAUACAAUGGUCGGGACAGAGGGUCGCCAACCCGCGACCAAUCCCAGAAACUGAUCGUAGUCGGAUCGCAGUCUGCAGCUCGACUGCACGUGAAGUCGGAAUCGCUAGUAAUCGCGGAUCCAAGCAUGUCGCGGUGAAUACGUUCCCGGGUCUUGUACACACCGCCCGUCACACCAUGGGAGUGGGUUUACCAGAAGUGGUUGUGGCUUAAAUAAGGGCGAUUACCGCGGUAAGUUCAUGACUGGGAAUUUGAAGUCGUAACAAGGUA
RNAcentral lists this ribosomal RNA (1457 nucleotides) under uncultured Bordetella sp. RNAcentral's name for it is "partial 16S-23S ribosomal RNA intergenic spacer". It matches the Rfam family "Bacterial small subunit ribosomal RNA". Lineage: Bacteria; Pseudomonadati; Pseudomonadota; Betaproteobacteria; Burkholderiales; Alcaligenaceae. The record is from RNAcentral.